UAAUUUCAAAUUUUAUUUUAGAUUCUGGGGUACAUGUGCAGGUAAUGUGCAUAGUACCCAAGAAGUUUUUCAAUUCUUGUCCCCCUCCCUUCCUCCCACCUCUUGUGGUCCCCAGUGUCUGUUGUUGCCAUCUUUAUGUCCAUGAGUUCUAAUGUUAACUCCCACUUAUAAGUGAGAACAUGUGGCAUUUGGUUUUCUGAUUCUGCAUUAAUUUGCUUAAGAUGAUGGCCUCCAGCUGCAUCCAUAAUGCUGCAAAGGAUGUGAUUUUGUACUUUUUAAAUGGCUGCAUAGUAUUCCAUAGUGUAUAUGGACCACAUUUUCUUUAUUUAAUCCACCAUUGAUGGGUACAUAGGUUGAUUUCAUGUUUUUGCUAUUGUGAAUAGUGCUGUGAUGAACAUGAGUGCAUGUUUCUUUUUGGUAGAAUGAUUUAUAUUCCUUUGGCUACAUACUCAGUAAUAGAAUUGCUGGGUCAAACAGUACUGUUCUUUGAAAAAUAUUUAAACUGCUUUCCACAGUGGCUAAACUGCUUUACAUUCCCAC
RNAcentral lists this long non-coding RNA (540 nucleotides) under Homo sapiens (human). RNAcentral's name for it is "HSALNT0307812". The record is from RNAcentral. Lineage: Eukaryota; Metazoa; Chordata; Mammalia; Primates; Hominidae.